This 763-nucleotide long non-coding RNA is filed under the name Olea europaea subsp. europaea. Lineage: Eukaryota; Viridiplantae; Streptophyta; Magnoliopsida; Lamiales; Oleaceae. The record is from RNAcentral.
GAAAAAACUCAAAUACGGCCCUAAUUUCUUUCCCCCCUCUCUCACUCUCACUCCCGCCACCGUGAGUUCUUCAACCUCUCUCUCAUCUACGAUCUACUAGGCAGCAAGCACGGCAUUCUCUUGCUCUCGCCACCAGAAUUCCUCUUUCUCUUGUCUUUGAGCCGUUGAUGCGACUCCACCUUCCUUCUAUCGACACAAUCAACAAUGCAACCAAAACGAGACCACAAUAGGUAGUAGGGGAAUCUUUUAAGAAGGCGUAGACCACUCAGCACUGAACCGUGAGCUCUUUGAACUAGUGAAGUUGAUUUGACAAUCGGUAAAAGAAGAAGUUGAUUUGAUCUGCAGAAGAAGGUGAAUCCCUUUCAUUUCUCAUUUUUAUUUAUUUAUGUAGUACGAAUAUGAUAGACCCUGAAGGAACAGGAGGCCAAACCCUAGAUACUUAGCUAUGAUGACUACAGAAUGUGGAAGACCAAUGGGUGCUUGACUUUUGGCUCACAAGUGGGCGAGUUGCUAUUGAGUUUGUUUAGGAGUUUGCUAAGUUUAUUUAGGAAGUAACCGUUGGUUUGACGACUAUAAAUAAGUUUGCAGACAUGUAGAUGAGGAGUAACAAAAAAUUGAUUGUGUUUGUGGUGAUAUCUCCUACACAAAUUGGAGACUUUAUUGCAAUUUAAAUAUUUUCAGCUUGAUUUUUUUCUUUUGUAGCUUUGAUUUCUGAUCAUCAAAACUGGUUCUGGAGUCAUUUAUAAUAAGGUGUCUGGCAGAU